GGGUUGGGUCUGUUGUGUGUGUCUGUGGAAGACGACGAGCAGCAACUGAAAAUUUAUGUGGUUGGCGUGAUGGUUUAGUGGUGGCUGUUGGGUGGUUGGCGUGAUGUUGUUGCCUGCAGCAUCGCCACUCACCGGUGAUCAGUUUCGGCGAGGCAAUAGCUGUUUGUGUUGGCUGGUCGGCGAUGGUUAGGAGCUGGAGUUGAGCUGAAGGUUGCUGGUUUUUCUAGGGUUAGGCUGCUAUAGGUGUGUCUAGGUUCAUCUCUAGGUUAAAGAGAUGAAAAAGAUAAGCUAGGUUUUUUUGGUUUCCAUAAAUAAAAAGAAGAAAACUUAGCUGCAGGUUUUUC
Molecule: long non-coding RNA, 344 nt
Filed under: Nicotiana benthamiana
Lineage: Eukaryota; Viridiplantae; Streptophyta; Magnoliopsida; Solanales; Solanaceae
Description: long non-coding RNA (NBEN_LNC041951)
Source: RNAcentral